RNAcentral lists this ribosomal RNA (460 nucleotides) under uncultured bacterium. RNAcentral describes it as "partial 16S ribosomal RNA". It matches the Rfam family "Bacterial small subunit ribosomal RNA", at positions 338 to 795 of the family's 1533-position model. The record is from RNAcentral.
CCUACGGGAGGCAGCAGUGAGGUAUAUUGGUCAAUGGACGAGAGUCUGAACCAGCCAAGUAGCGUGAAGGAUGACUGCCCUAUGGGUUGUAAACUUCUUUUAUAUGGGAAUAAAACGUUCCACGUGUGGGAUUUUGUAUGUACCAUAUGAAUAAGGAUCGGCUAACUCCGUGCCAGCAGCCGCGGUAAUACGGAGGAUCCGAGCGUUAUCCGGAUUUAUUGGGUUUAAAGGGAGCGUAGGUGGAUUGUUAAGUCAGUUGUGAAAGUUUGCGGCUCAACCGUAAAAUUGCAGUUGGAACUGGCAGUCUUGAGUAUAGUAGAGGUGGGCGGAAUUCGUGGUGUAGCGGUGAAAUGCUUAGAUAUCACGAAGAACUCCGAUUGCGAAGGCAGUUCACUGGACUGCAACUGACACUGAGGCUCGAAAGUGUGGGUAUCAAACAGGAUUAGAUACCCCAGUAGUC